RNAcentral lists this ribosomal RNA (253 nucleotides) under uncultured bacterium. RNAcentral describes it as "partial 16S ribosomal RNA". It matches the Rfam family "Bacterial small subunit ribosomal RNA", at positions 524 to 776 of the family's 1533-position model. The record is from RNAcentral.
UACGUAGGGCGCAAGCGUUGUCCGGAAUUAUUGGGCGUAAAGAGCUCGUAGGCGGUCUGUUACGUCCGCUGUGAAAACCCAGGGCUUAACCCUGGGCUUGCAGUGGAUACGGGCAGACUAGAGGCAGGUAGGGGAGAAUGGAAUUCCCGGUGUAGCGGUGAAAUGCGCAGAUAUCGGAAGGAACACCAGUGGCGAAAGCGGCUUCCUGGUCCAGCACCGACGUUCAGGCACGAAAGCGUGGGGAGCAAACAGG